This 394-nucleotide ribosomal RNA is filed under the name uncultured bacterium. RNAcentral's name for it is "partial 16S ribosomal RNA". It matches the Rfam family "Bacterial small subunit ribosomal RNA", at positions 523 to 918 of the family's 1533-position model. The record is from RNAcentral.
AUACGGAGGAUGCAAGCGUUAUCCGGAUUUAUUGGGUUUAAAGGGUGCAUAGGCGGAUGAUUAAGCGUGAGGUGAAAUGCCACUGCUCAACAGUGGAACUGCCUCGCGAACUGGUUGUCUUGAAUGCUCCUGCCGUGGGAGGAAUGUGUGGUGUAGCGGUGAAAUGCAUAGAGAUCACACAGAACACCGAUUGCGAAGGCAUCUCACGAAGGGGUGAUUGACGCUGAGGCACGAAAGCGUGGGGAUCAAACAGGAUUAGAUACCCUGGUAGUCCACGCAGUAAACGAUGAUAACUAACCGCUGGGUCGUAGUGAUUCAGUGGCCAAGCGAAAGCGAUAAGUUAUCCACCUGGGGAGUACGACCGCAAGGUUGAAACUCAAAUGAAUUGACGGGG